CCUACGGGCGGCAGCAGUGAGGAAUAUUGGUCAAUGGGCGGGAGCCUGAACCAGCCAAGUCGCGUGAGGGACGACGGUCCUAUGGAUUGUAAACCUCUUUUGUCGGGGAACAAAGGCGUCCACGGGUGGGCGGAUGAGUGUACCCGAAGAAAAAGCAUCGGCUAACUCCGUGCCAGCAGCCGCGGUAAUACGGAGGAUGCGAGCGUUAUCCGGAUUUAUUGGGUUUAAAGGGUGCGUAGGCGGCCUUUUAAGUCAGCGGUGAAAGUCUGUGGCUCAACCAUGGAAUUGCCGUUGAAACUGGGGGGCUUGAGUAUGUUUGAGGCAGGCGGAAUGCGUGGUGUAGCGGUGAAAUGCUUAGAUAUCACGCAGAACCCCGAUUGCGAAGGCAGCCUGCCAAGCCAUGACUGACGCUGAUGCACGAAAGCGUGGGGAUCAAACAGGAUUAGAUACCCCAGUAGUC
RNAcentral lists this ribosomal RNA (460 nucleotides) under uncultured bacterium. RNAcentral's name for it is "partial 16S ribosomal RNA". It matches the Rfam family "Bacterial small subunit ribosomal RNA", at positions 338 to 795 of the family's 1533-position model. The record is from RNAcentral.